Diceros bicornis minor is the source of this 1552-nucleotide long non-coding RNA. RefSeq lists it as uncharacterized. The record is from RefSeq and is a predicted model, not a curated record. The transcript has 5 exons. Lineage: Eukaryota; Metazoa; Chordata; Mammalia; Perissodactyla; Rhinocerotidae.
CUUCCUUCAAGUUUUUCUUAUGCACUUCCCUGUCCUACCUAGUUUCUUUAAUGGAUUAUAAACUUUUGCUUCAUCUCACUAUACCUGCACAUGCCCAUGACCAACCUCAUGUUGGUGCCACUGUAUGAAAUAGUGUUUGACUUGUAAACAAAUAUGCAAAUGGGUUCUUUCCCCUUAAGCAUCCUUUGCGCCUCUUCUUUCCACUAAUUCAUUUUAGGAUAUUGAUCUAUCUCUUUUGAGUCCAGAGUUGUAGGGCUUGAUCUUCCAAGGCUUUGGGAACAUCUUGUGCGUGUGCUCCAGAUUCCAAAGUCAUGAAGAGACAGCCAUUGCUCUGGAAUGAACAAGUUGCUUAAGUCAAAAUGCCACCUUUUACUCUUUUUUUUUCCCCACAUGAGUUAUGCCUGAAGUGCAUGACUUGAUCUUUAUUUUUAAUACUAUGGCCUUGGUACAGGUUGAACUUCAAAAACUAUCAUUAUGUCCUGGUCUUUGUUUUUGCCAUCGAGGAGAUCAACAGGAGCCCCCAGCUGCUCCCCACCCUGUCUCUGGGUUUCCAUGUCUACAAUUCCUUCCACAGUGAUGUCAGCACCUUGGUGAGCACCCUGAGGUGGUUAUCGGGAUGGGGUCAGAUGAUCCCUAAUUACACCUGCCAGGCACAGAACAAGAAUGUGGCUGUCACUGCAGGAACCACACCAGCAUUCUCUGCCCACAUUGGGACACUGUUGGAGCUCUACAAAAUACCACAGAGAACUCAAUAUGGAACACUUUUUCUCUUUUGAUUCAGACAACCUAUGGAGAUUUUGAUCCUGUACUGAAAGGAACUGAAUGUGGAAAUUUUUGGAGUGUCCAUUCAAUGCCUCCCUGGAGUCUCUGCCAAAGGAAACAUUAGACACGACUCUGUCUGGAUCCAGCUACUACAUCUAUGAUGCUGUGGAUGUGGUGGCCUGAGCCCUCCAUGAAAUACUUUUUAUAAAAGCAGAACAGGGGUCCAUAAUGGAUGCAGGCCAGCUCAUGUUUCUCCCUUAGCAGGUUGCAAGUAAACCUCUAAUGAUUGUAGGGUCUAAUUAGCAACAGUGUCAACUCUUUUAACUAGAAAUAAUUGAUUAAAAACUUUCACUGUGAGAGGUAGGAAGAAGCAGGCUGUCUUUCUUUGUCUCUUCUUGAGCUCGAGGAAACUCCCUAGCACCCCUAAAGCAAACCUCAUUGCUCAAGGUGCAGCUCAGGUUUAGCCCCACAGCACUCCCUGGACGUGGAAUCUUCAGGAAUGGUUUAAACCUCACCAUGUGCUCUCUGAGGGCAGACAAGAAUGCCUGCUUCCUUAAGCGUGCAGAAUAGUAAACACUCCCCAAAUUGAACUUAUUCAGAGGAUGACUAAUAUAGAGGGGAAAAAAUCUAAUUGCUGGGCAACUCAGUAUCCCCACCAGUUCGAAUCUGGGUUUUCUGCCUUCAAUUUCCAUGCUCAUUUCAUUUCCCAAUUAUGUCUCCCUUUUAGCUCCACCCAUUCCUAAGAAACACCCAAUUUAAAAAUAGCACUGGAGCUCACGUGUCACUGGAU